UACAAUUCUCUUCCAUUUUCUUAAGCUUAA
Molecule: non-coding RNA, 30 nt
Filed under: Mus musculus (house mouse)
Lineage: Eukaryota; Metazoa; Chordata; Mammalia; Rodentia; Muridae
Source: RNAcentral